Molecule: ribosomal RNA, 403 nt
Filed under: uncultured bacterium
Lineage: Bacteria
Description: partial 16S ribosomal RNA
Rfam family: Bacterial small subunit ribosomal RNA
Source: RNAcentral
AUGGAACGCUGGCGGCCGGCCUAACACAUGCAAGUCGAGCGAGCGGCGGACGGGUGGGUCAUGUAUGGGGACUGCCCGAUAGAGGGGGGUAACUACUGGCAACGGUAGCUAAUAACGCAUACUAUCGGAUAACCCAUAUGGGAUUGUCUAGUAGGUGAGGUAAUGGCUCACCUAGGCGACUAUACCUAGCUGGUCUGAGAGGAUGAUCAGCCAGACUGGGACUGAGACACGGCCCAGACUCCUUCGGAGGCAGCAGUGGGGAAUAUUGCACAAUGGCGGCAAGCCUGAUGCAGCCAUGCCGCGUGUAUGAAGAAGGCCCUAGGGUUGUAAAGUACUUUCAGUCGUGAGGCGUUACCGACAGAAGAAGCACCGGCUAACUCCGUGCCAGCAGCCGCGGUAAUUC